This 849-nucleotide ribosomal RNA is filed under the name uncultured bacterium. RNAcentral's name for it is "bacterial SSU rRNA". It matches the Rfam family "Bacterial small subunit ribosomal RNA", at positions 8 to 854 of the family's 1533-position model. The record is from RNAcentral.
AGAGUUUGAUCAUGGCUCAGAGUGAACGCUGGCGGCGUGCCUAAUACAUGCAAGUCGAACGCGAAAGCCCUUCGGGAUGAGUAAAGUGGCGCACGGGUGAGUAAUGCAUGGGAACGUGCCCUGAAAUGGGGAAUAACUGUUGGAAACGACAGCUAAUACCGCAUAGUCUCGAGAGAGUAAAGGUGGCGCCGUAAGGGCUACCGUUUCAGGAUCGGCCCAUGUCCCAUUAGCUAGUUGGCGGGGUAAUGGCCCACCAAGGCAACGAUGGGUAACUGGUCUGAGAGGAUGAUCAGUCACACUGGAACUGAGACACGGUCCAGACUCCUACGGGAGGCAGCAGUAGGGAAUAUUGCACAAUGGGGGAAACCCUGAUGCAGCAACGCCGCGUGAGUGAAGAAGGCCCUUGGGUUGUAAAGCUCUUUAGCCUGGGAAGAGGCUUCGUUAGGUAAAUAAUCUAGCGGGGUGACGGUACCAGGAGAAUAAGCACCGGCUAAUCUCGUGCCAGCAGCCGCGGUAAUACGAGAGGUGCAAGCGUUACUCGGAAUCACUGGGCGUAAAACGCACGUAGGCGGAUUGGUAUGUCAAUUGUGAAAUACCUGGGCUCAACCCGGGAACUGCAGUUGAAACUGCCUUUCUUGAAUGCUUGAGAGGGUGGGGGAAUACCUAGUGGAGAAGUGAAAUUCGUAGAGAUUAGGUGGAACACCGGAGGCGAAGGCGCCUGCCUGGCAAUGCAUUGACGCUGAGGUGCGAAAGUGUGGGGAGCAAACAGGAUUAGAUACCCUGGUAGUCCACACCGUAAACGAUGGAUACUAGGCGUGCGGAGAGUUAACCCUCUGCGUGCCAAAGUUC